CCUACGGGAGGCAGCAGUGAGGAAUAUUGGUCAAUGGGCGAGAGCCUGAACCAGCCAAGUAGCGUGAAGGAUGACUGCCCUAUGGGUUGUAAACUUCUUUUAUAUGGGAAUAAAAUGCAGCACGUAUACCUUUUUGCAUGUACUUUAUGAAUAAGGAUCGGCUAACUCCGUGCCAGCAGCCGCGGUAAUACGGAGGAUCCGAGCGUUAUCCGGAUUUAUUGGGUUUAAAGGGAGCGUAGAUGGGUUGUUAAGUCAGUUGUGAAAGUUUGCGGCUCAACCGUAAAAUUGCAAUUGAUACUGGCAGCCUUGAGUACAGUAGAGGUAGGCGGAAUUCGUGGUGUAGCGGUGAAAUGCGUAGAUAUCACGAAGAACUCCGAUUGCGAAGGCAGCCUACUGGACUGCCACUGACGUUGAUGCUCGAAAGUGUGGGUAUCAAACAGGAUUAGAUACCCUAGUAGUC
This 460-nucleotide ribosomal RNA is filed under the name uncultured bacterium. RNAcentral's name for it is "partial 16S ribosomal RNA". It matches the Rfam family "Bacterial small subunit ribosomal RNA", at positions 338 to 795 of the family's 1533-position model. The record is from RNAcentral.